This 329-nucleotide ribosomal RNA is filed under the name uncultured eukaryote. Its description in RNAcentral is "partial 18S ribosomal RNA". It matches the Rfam family "Eukaryotic small subunit ribosomal RNA", at positions 1470 to 1796 of the family's 1831-position model. The record is from RNAcentral.
CCCUUAGAUGUUCUGGGCCGCACCCGCGCUACACUGAUGCAUUCAACGAGUCUAAAACCUGGUCUGAGAGGGCUGGGUAAUCUUUUGAAAGUGCAUCGUGAUUGGGAUAGAUGAUUGCAAUUCUUCAUCUUCAACGAGGAAUGCCUAGUAAACGCAAGUCAUCAGCUUGCAUUGAUUACGUCCCUGCCCUUUGUACACACCGCCCGUCGCUCCUACCGAUUGAACGAUCCGAUGAAAACUGUGGAUUGAGAGUCUGAGUGGGUUCGCCUACCUCAACUUUCGAGAAGCGGUUUAAAUCUUAUCGUUUAGAGGAAGGAGAAGUCGUAACA